Molecule: ribosomal RNA, 253 nt
Filed under: uncultured bacterium
Lineage: Bacteria
Description: partial 16S ribosomal RNA
Rfam family: Bacterial small subunit ribosomal RNA
Source: RNAcentral
UACGUAGGGUGCGAGCGUUAAUCGGAAUUACUGGGCGUAAAGCGUGCGCAGGCGGUUCGUUGUGUCGGUGGUGAAAUCCCCGGGCUUAACCUGGGAAUUGCGCUUGUGACUGGCGUGCUGGAGUGUGGCAGAGGGAGGUGGAAUUCCACGUGUAGCAGUGAAAUGCGUAGAGAUGUGGAGGAACACCGAUGGCGAAGGCAGCCUCCUGGGCCAGCACUGACGCUCAUGCACGAAAGCGUGGGGAGCAAACAGG